AGAAGCCACACCUGUGGUGAGGAGCUCUCCAUAUGGGGUUGCAGGUGCCAUGUGAGUCUCCAUGUGUGGUUGUGUUUUAAGCCCAGGAAGUGCUAGGAGUAAGCUGGAAUAAGCUAGAACUCACAGCUGGUUCUUCCACAUAGAGAAAUGAAGGAGUGGAAUCACUGGGGAUACCUCCCGCAAUAGGAAAGCCCCUUGAGAACUGAAACAAGUCAUCUGUUUCUCAGGAGGAGCUGACCAAGAGCCCCCUCCUUUCGUGUGAAUUUAAAUUCCCCUUUUCAUGAGACUUUUCUUAAAGACAAGGAAAAAAAGCUAUCAGGGGAAAAUGAAUAAUAUGACAUCGAAAGUAUUGAAAGGCUUGAAAUGAUCCCACAUGUGUCAUCUGACUUUGAGAGGUGAAGGGGCUCCCGUCUGUACGUAGAGAGGCUGGCGUGCUGCCUGGAUUACUUGUCUGAUGUCACAUGCUAAUGGGAUCCCAGCUAGAAUGCUGGCAACUCUGACUGUAACAACCUCAGACACCUUUGCGCACAGCUUCAGUUUCAAAUUAAUUUUCACAUCCUCCUUAGGAAACUGGGCCCUCCGUAAUCAACAGAACUCUGCAUCGCACAUCCUAACAUUGAAACUCACCUGAGCACAAGGAUCCUACAGUUCUCCUAGACAGACCUCAAGAACCCGCACAGACCCUCGGGGCACACUCCCCUGUGUGUUUUGGAACAAAUAGUCACUCUCUGUGUUUU
This 737-nucleotide long non-coding RNA is filed under the name Homo sapiens (human). RNAcentral describes it as "non-protein coding lnc-IL1R1-1:1". The record is from RNAcentral. Lineage: Eukaryota; Metazoa; Chordata; Mammalia; Primates; Hominidae.